CAUGCAGUCGAGCGGUAAGGCCUUUCGGGGUACACGAGCGGCGAACGGGUGAGUAACACGUGGGUGAUCUGCCCUGCACUUCGGGAUAAGCCUGGGAAACUGGGUCUAAUACCGGAUAUGACCUCCUAUCGCAUGGUGGGUGGUGGAAAGAUUUAUCGGUGCAGGAUGGGCCCGCGGCCUAUCAGCUUGUUGGUGGGGUAAUGGCCUACCAAGGCGACGACGGGUAGCCGACCUGAGAGGGUGACCGGCCACACUGGGACUGAGACACGGCCCAGACUCCUACGGGAGGCAGCAGUGGGGAAUAUUGCACAAUGGGCGAAAGCCUGAUGCAGCGACGCCGCGUGAGGGAUGACGGCCUUCGGGUUGUAAACCUCUUUCAGCAGGGACGAAGCGCAAGUGACGGUACCUGCAGAAGAAGCACCGGCUAACUACGUGCCAGCAGCCGCGGUAAUACGUAGGGUGCAAGCGUUGUCCGGAAUUACUGGGCGUAAAGAGUUCGUAGGCGGUUUGUCGCGUCGUUUGUGAAAACCAGCAGCUCAACUGCUGGCUUGCAGGCGAUACGGGCAGACUUGAGUACUGCAUGGGAGACUGGAAUUCCUGGUGUAGCGGUGAAAUGCGCAGAUAUCAGGAGGAACACCGGUGGCGAAAGGCGGGUCUCUGGGCAGUAACUGACGCUGAGGAACGAAGCGUGGGUAGCGAACAGGAUUAGAUACCCUGGGUAGUCCACGCCGUAAACGGUGGGGCGCUAGGUGUGGGUCUUCCACGGAAUCCG
RNAcentral lists this ribosomal RNA (772 nucleotides) under Rhodococcus sp. PN12. Its description in RNAcentral is "bacterial SSU rRNA". It matches the Rfam family "Bacterial small subunit ribosomal RNA", at positions 54 to 843 of the family's 1533-position model. The record is from RNAcentral. Lineage: Bacteria; Bacillati; Actinomycetota; Actinomycetes; Mycobacteriales; Nocardiaceae.